GAUGAACGCUGGCGGCGUGCUUAACACAUGCAAGUCGAACGGAGUACCCCUGAAGGAGUUUUCGGACAACUGAUGGGACUACUUAGUGGCGGACGGGUGAGUAACGCGUGAGUAACCUGCCUUGGAGUGGGGAAUAACAGCUGGAAACAGCUGCUAAUACCGCAUAAUAUAUCUGUGUCGCAUGGCAGUGGAUAUCAAAGAUUUAUCGCUCUGAGAUGGACUCGCGUCUGAUUAGCUAGUUGGCGGGGUAACGGCCCACCAAGGCGACGAUCAGUAGCCGGACUGAGAGGUUGGCCGGCCACAUUGGGACUGAGACACGGCCCAGACUCCUACGGGAGGCAGCAGUGGGGAAUAUUGGGCAAUGGGCGCAAGCCUGACCCAGCAACGCCGCGUGAAGGAAGAAGGCUUUCGGGUUGUAAACUUCUUUUCUCAGGGACGAAGCAAGUGACGGUACCUGAGGAAUAAGCCACGGCUAACUACGUGCCAGCAGCCGCGGUAAUACGUAGGUGGCAAGCGUUAUCCGGAUUUACUGGGUGUAAAGGGCGUGUAGGCGGGACUGCAAGUCAGAUGUGAAAACCACGGGCUCAACCUGUGGCCUGCAUUUGAAACUGUAGUUCUUGAGUACUGGAGAGGCAGACGGAAUUCCUAGUGUAGCGGUGAAAUGCGUAGAUAUUAGGAGGAACACCAGUGGCGAAGGCGGUCUGCUGGACAGCAACUGACGCUGAGGCGCGAAAGCGUGGGGAGCAAACAGGAUUAGAUACCCUGGUAGUCCACGCUGUAAACGAUGGAUACUAGGUGUGGGGGGACUGACCUCCUCCGUGCCGCAGUUAACACAAUAAGUAUCCCACCUGGGGAGUACGAUCGCAAGGUUGAAACUCAAAGGAAUUGACGGGGGCCCGCACAAGCGGUGGAGUAUGUGGUUUAAUUCGAAGCAACGCGAAGAACCUUACCAGGGCUUGACAUCCCGGUGACCGCUGUAGAGAUACAGUUUUCCCUUCGGGGACACUGGUGACAGGUGGUGCAUGGUUGUCGUCAGCUCGUGUCGUGAGAUGUUGGGUUAAGUCCCGCAACGAGCGCAACCCUUAUUGUUAGUUGCUACGCAAGAGCACUCUAGCGAGACUGCCGUUGACAAAACGGAGGAAGGUGGGGACGACGUCAAAUCAUCAUGCCCCUUAUGUCCUGGGCCACACACGUACUACAAUGGUGGUCAACAGAGGGAAGCAAUACCGCGAGGUGGAGCAAAUCCCUAAAAGCCAUCCCAGUUCGGAUCGCAGGCUGCAACCCGCCUGCGUGAAGUUGGAAUCGCUAGUAAUCGCGGAUCAGCAUGCCGCGGUGAAUACGUUCCCGGGCCU
Molecule: ribosomal RNA, 1352 nt
Filed under: uncultured bacterium
Lineage: Bacteria
Description: bacterial SSU rRNA
Rfam family: Bacterial small subunit ribosomal RNA
Source: RNAcentral